RNAcentral lists this ribosomal RNA (506 nucleotides) under uncultured bacterium. RNAcentral describes it as "partial 16S ribosomal RNA". It matches the Rfam family "Bacterial small subunit ribosomal RNA", at positions 29 to 523 of the family's 1533-position model. The record is from RNAcentral.
AGUGAACGCUGGCGGUAGGCCUAACACAUGCAAGUCGAACGGCAGCACAGGAGAGCUUGCUCUCUGGGUGGCGAGUGGCGGACGGGUGAGGAAUACAUCGGAAUCUACUCUGUCGUGGGGGAUAACGUAGGGAAACUUACGCUAAUACCGCAUACGACCUACGGGUGAAAGCAGGGGACCUUCGGGCCUUGCGCGAUUGAAUGAGCCGAUGUCGGAUUAGCUAGUUGGCGGGGUAAAGGCCCACCAAGGCGACGAUCCGUCGCUGGUCUGAGAGGAUGAUCAGCCACACUGGAACUGAGACACGGUCCAGACUCCUACGGGAGGCAGCAGUGGGGAAUAUUGGACAAUGGGCGCAAGCCUGAUCCAGCCAUACCGCGUGGGUGAAGAAGGCCUUCGGGUUGUAAAGCCCUUUUGUUGGGAAAGAAAUCCAGCUGGCUAAUACCCGGUUGGGAUGACGGUACUCAAAGAAUAAGCACCGGCUAACUUCGUGCCAGCAGCCGCGGUAA